AGCAGGUUCCUUAGAUCCGCAUUCGUUUGUCCAUCGAAAGCGCUUGAGUCAUAAACUUGCAAGACUAAAAGUUUUGGAUUCUGAAAUUAUCAUUAAAGGAAUUUCAUCCAUAAAGAGUGAUUGUUUAAAAGGAAUCUGAAAAGA
RNAcentral lists this small nucleolar RNA (144 nucleotides) under Clunio marinus. RNAcentral describes it as "Small nucleolar RNA SNORA53". Lineage: Eukaryota; Metazoa; Arthropoda; Insecta; Diptera; Chironomidae. The record is from Rfam by way of RNAcentral.